UGAUCCUGGCUUAGAACGAACGCUGGCGGCGUGCUUAAGACAUGCAAGUCGAACGGUAAGGCCCCUUCGGGGGUACACGAGUGGCGCACGGGUGAGUAACGCGUGGGUAAUCUGCCUUCGGGUUUGGGACAACUCUUGGAAACGAGAGCUAAUACCGAAUAAGACCACGAGAUCCUUGGAUCAUGUGGAAAAAGGUGGCCUCUCCUUGGAAGCUAUCGCCGGAAGAUGAGCCCGCGUCCCAUUAGUUUGUUGGUGAGGUAAAAGCUCACCAAGGCAUCGAUGGGUAGCUGGUCUGAGAGGAUGAUCAGCCACACUGGAACUGAGACACGGUCCAGACUCCUACGGGAGGCAGCAGUCGGGAAUCUUGCGCAAUGGGGGAACCCUGAUGCAGCAACGCCGCGUGAGGGAUGAAGGCCCUCGGGUCGUAAACCUCUGUCGGGAGGGAAGAACGCCAUCCGAAUUAAUACUUCGGGUGGUUGACGGUACCUCCAAAGGAAGCGCCGGCUAACUCCGUGCCAGCAGCCGCGGUAAUACGGAGGGCGCAAGCGUUGUUCGGAAUCAUUGGGCGUAAAGCGCGUGUAGGCGGCUGGGAAAGUCGGAUGUGAAAGCCCGGGGCUCAACCCCGGAAUUGCAUUCGAAACUUCCCAGCUAGAGUCUCGGAGAGGAGGGCGGGAUUCCCGGUGUAGAGGUGAAAUUCGUAGAUAUCGGGAGGAACACCCGGGGCGAAGGCGGCCCUCUGGACGAUGACUGACGCUGAGACGCGAAAGCGUGGGGAGCAAACAGGAUUAGAUACCCUGGUAGUCCACGCCGUAAACGUUGGGUGCUAGGUGUCGCGGGUAUUGACCCCUGCGGUGCCUCGUUAACGCAUUUAGCACCCCGCCUGGGGAGUACGGUCGCAGGUUAAAACCAAAAUGAAUUGACGGGGGCCCGCACAAGCGGUGGAGCAUGUGGUUUAAUUCGAUGCAACGCGAAGAACCUUACCAGGUCUUGACAUCCCGAGAAUUUACUAGAGAUAGUUUAGUGCCUUGGGAACUCGGUGACAGGUGCUGCAUGGCUGUCGUCAGCUCGUGUCGUGAGAUGUUGGGUUAAGUCCCGUAACGAGCGCAACCCUUGUCCUUAGUUGCCAGCACGUAAUGGUGGGAACUCUAAGGAGACUGCCGGUGACAAACCGGAGGAAGGUGGGGACGACGUCAAGUCAUCAUGGCCCUUACGGCCUGGGCUACACACGUGCUACAAUGGCCGGUACAGAGGGUUGCCAAGCCGCGAGGUGGAGCUAAUCCCAGAAAACCGGUCGUAGUCCGGAUUGGAGUCUGCAACUCGACUCCAUGAAGUCGGAAUCGCUAGUAAUCGUGGAUCAGAAUGCCGCGGUGAAUACGUUCCCGGGCCUUGUACACACCGCCCGUCACACCAUGGGAGUGGGUUGCUUCAGAAGUGGUUAGUCUAACCUUCGGGAGGGCGAUCACCACGGAGUGAUUCAUGACUGGGGUGUGAAGUCGUAACAAGGUAACCA
RNAcentral lists this ribosomal RNA (1510 nucleotides) under uncultured prokaryote. RNAcentral describes it as "partial 16S ribosomal RNA". It matches the Rfam family "Bacterial small subunit ribosomal RNA". The record is from RNAcentral.